Molecule: long non-coding RNA, 573 nt
Organism: Dinoponera quadriceps
Lineage: Eukaryota; Metazoa; Arthropoda; Insecta; Hymenoptera; Formicidae
Exons: 4
Source: RefSeq, a predicted model, not a curated record
GACGCUCAGAGCAACAAUGAAACUUCGUUUUACGAGUCUGUUGUGCAUAUGACGCAUAAAUAACCGGAAUCUCGCGACUUUUAUUGCACCGAUGACGAAAUACGAAUAAAUUGUUCUCUUGCCUGCGCGGCAUCAAUGGCCAAUUCUGAUCGUUCGCGACUCAGAGGACACAGCGAUUAGCCGUUGUGUGAACACAGACUUCUAUAUAUAUAUAUAUAUAUAUAUAUGUAUAUAUGUAUUAGACCUCGUACCUCUUAUAUAUCAGCCUUAUAUGCAUGUAUCUUAAAUCCUCCCCGCGCCCAUCGCCCGUCAUCACGCUUUUCGCACCCACUCUCCGUCGCGACGGGGCCUGGAUAUUUCGGCAGCUAAUCAAAAGAAAAGGACCAUGCCUGUUACUACGGAAACUCAAGACUUGCUGUCUCCUUUUCUUUCGCCCGAUAAUAACAACGAGGGAAACUUUGCGACUUGAAGAAAAACGAGAAUUCAGAAUUAAGGAGUGAGUAUGCGCCACAAUCGAUUAAAGAAAAAAAAAUUGAAACUUAUUCAUGUAUUUUCAAUUUAAUAUUAACUGUA